UGGGAAUCAGGUCUCCCUCCUACCUCAACUC
This 31-nucleotide non-coding RNA is filed under the name Mus musculus (house mouse). The record is from RNAcentral. Lineage: Eukaryota; Metazoa; Chordata; Mammalia; Rodentia; Muridae.